This 609-nucleotide long non-coding RNA is filed under the name Equus caballus (horse). RNAcentral describes it as "lncRNA (ENSECAG00000049725.1)". Lineage: Eukaryota; Metazoa; Chordata; Mammalia; Perissodactyla; Equidae. The record is from RNAcentral.
GUGGGAAGCCAGGUGCCAUGUAAUGAGGACACUCAGGCAUUCUACGGAGAAACCCACAUGGCAGAGAAUGGAAGCCUAUGGCCAAUAACCAACAGGAAUUGAGACCUGCUAGCAACUAACCACAUGAUCCUGGUAGCAGAUUCUCAAGCCCCAAGUUUUGCCCGUUCGGAUCCUGGGCGCAGACCAAGCACUGCUCAUCAAGCCAUGCUGAGGCAGCGUUCCACAUAGCACAAGCAGAGGCACUCACAGCUGGAAUAUACAACUAUGUACUGGGGGCCUUUGGGGAGAAGAAGAAGAAGAAAAAGAAGAAGAUUGGCAACAGAAGUUAGCUCAGAUUUUAUAUUGUCCUAAACAUUAAGAGGAAGACCACUAGAAUUAGAAAGAUGUAGGCCUUUCUUGAAUAUGUAAAUAAAGUUAUGUAUUGGUUUUAUCACUAAGCAGAUCCCAGGACACAAGGUGCAACCAUAUAUUAAAAUGAAAAUUAAGUAGAAGAUACUGUAAGUAUCAUAUUUGUUUGUUUGUUUUUUUAAGUUCUGAGGGUAGUAGUAUACAUUUGACUCUGAUCUGUGUAGAUGACACAAGUUGCUUUGCAAAAGUGCUCAUCCAGGG